Molecule: ribosomal RNA, 506 nt
Filed under: uncultured bacterium
Lineage: Bacteria
Description: partial 16S ribosomal RNA
Rfam family: Bacterial small subunit ribosomal RNA
Source: RNAcentral
AGUGAACGCUGGCGGUAGGCCUAACACAUGCAAGUCGAACGGCAGCACAGAGGAGCUUGCUCCUUGGGUGGCGAGUGGCGGACGGGUGAGGAAUACAUCGGAAUCUACUCUGUCGUGGGGGAUAACGUAGGGAAACUUACGCUAAUACCGCAUACGACCUACGGGUGAAAGCAGGGGAUCUUCGGACCUUGCGCGAUUGAAUGAGCCGAUGUCGGAUUAGCUAGUUGGCGGGGUAAAGGCCCACCAAGGCGACGAUCCGUAGCUGGUCUGAGAGGAUGAUCAGCCACACGGGAACUGAGACACGGUCCAGCCUCCUACGGGAGGCAGCAGUGGGGAAUAUUGGACAAUGGGCGCAAGCCUGAUCCAGCCAUACCGCGUGGGUGAAGAGGGCCUUCGGGUUGUAAAGCCCUUUUGUUGGGAAAGAAAUCCAGCUGGCUAAUACCCGGUUGGGAUGACGGUACCCAAAGAAUAAGCACCGGCUAACUUCGUGCCAGCCGCCGCAGUAA